Molecule: long non-coding RNA, 619 nt
Filed under: Cyanistes caeruleus (blue tit)
Lineage: Eukaryota; Metazoa; Chordata; Aves; Passeriformes; Paridae
Description: lncRNA (ENSCCEG00000018886.1)
Source: RNAcentral
GCUGCUGGCUGGGGCACAGCACCACCUUUUAGGGGUUUUUUAGGGGCACAUCAGCCUACCCACCAUCCCUUCCCUGCUCUCAUCCAGGGGUUAUUCCGAGCAGCACGGCCGACGUUUCACUGCCGUGAUUCCCACCAACGUCUUCGGGCCACACGACAACUUCAACAUUGAGGACGGCCAUGUCCUGCCUGGGCUCAUCCACAAGAGUCCGGCUCUGCUCUGACCGUCUGGGGAACGGGCAAGCCCAGGAGACAGUUCAUCUAUUCCCUGGACCUGGCCCGACUUUUCCUUUGGGUCCUGCGGGAAUACGAUGAGGUGGAACCAAUCAUUUUGUCAGUGGGAGAAGAAGAUGAAGUCUCCAUCCGGGAAGCGGCAGAGGCCAUUGCGGAGGCCAUGGAAUUCAGGGGAGAGCUCGUUUUUGACACCACCAAGUCAGAUGGGCAGUUCAAGAAGACGGCCAGCAAUGCCAAGCUCCGGCGGUACCUGCCCGGAUUCCAGUUCACACCUUUCAGGAAAGGUGAGAUGGGAGAGUCUCCAGGAGACACCAGGGGUCCUACCCCAUGCCAUCAGCCUUGGUGGCAUCAAGGUGGUCCACCCUUUCCCGAUGAAGAAUGAGGGU